This 433-nucleotide ribosomal RNA is filed under the name uncultured bacterium. RNAcentral describes it as "partial 16S ribosomal RNA". It matches the Rfam family "Bacterial small subunit ribosomal RNA", at positions 29 to 507 of the family's 1533-position model. The record is from RNAcentral.
AACGAACGCUGGCGGCAGGCCUAACACAUGGAAGUCGAGCGAGACCUUCGGGUCUAGCGGCGGACGGGUGAGUAACGCGUGGGAACGUGCCCUUUUCUACGGAAUAGCCUCGGGAAACUGAGCGUAAUACCGUAUACGCCCUUUGGGGGAAAGAUUUAUCGGAGAAGGAUCGGCCCGCGUUGGAUUAGGUAGUUGGUGGGGUAAUGGCCUACCAAGCCUACGAUCCAUAGCUGGUUUGAGAGGAUGAUCAGCCACACUGGGACUGAGACACGGCCCAGACUCCUACGGGAGGCAGCAGUGGGGAAUCUUAGACAAUGGGGGCAACCCUGAUCUAGCCAUGCCGCGUGAGUGAUGAAGGCCUUAGGGUUGUAAAGCUCUUUCAGCUGGGAAGAUAAUGACGGUACCAGCAGAAGAAGCCCCGGCUAACUCCGUG